This 33495-nucleotide long non-coding RNA is filed under the name Homo sapiens (human). RNAcentral describes it as "non-protein coding lnc-RNF39-4:20". The record is from RNAcentral. Lineage: Eukaryota; Metazoa; Chordata; Mammalia; Primates; Hominidae.
AGAGUCUGGGGCAGCACGCGUACUCACAGCCUAGAGGAAGCAGGAGGGGCGCCCAGAUGGGUAUUGCCGGGCCAGACGCUGCAGAGUGGGUGUGGCGAGGGCGGAGUUGUGUGCACCAAGCUGAGUCCUGCUGCAGAUUUCCGUUUGCCUUGUCUGGAUUGGCCUGGGGUACAUCAUCUAAAGAUCCUAGGAUUGCUGCAGGUCAGCAGUCUCCACUGGAAAAAAAGAUCUUGCAUGUAUUUCAAGUCCUCUGAUGAAUCAUGUGAUCUACUAGACCCUGAAGAUACAGUGAAGAGCAAAAGAACACAGAUGAAAUGAGAAACAAAAACGAUGGAGAAAACCAAAAAAGGGGACACAUGGGAUCCAGGCAAUAGGAGAGCCAGCAUAAGAGAGAGCCAGAGGGAUGCCCAGGAUGAGGUGAAGACGAUCUUGGAAAUCAGCCCAGAUGUGCAUGCACCAGUCCACGUGUGGCAGGACCAAGGGAAGUGUCUUCACAAAGAUGAGGCUUUGAUUUGUUGGAGAAACUGUUACCAGAAAAACAGGUCCCGAUCCCGACCCCAAAAGAGUAUUCUUGGAUCUUGCACAGGAAGGAAUUAAAGGUGAGUCACAGAGUGCAGUGAGAAGGAGAUAGUUUAUUGAAAGUUACUCAGAUACAGAGUAGGUGUCCUCAGAAAGCAAAAGGAAGAAUGCACCAUCUUUGUUGUAAACUCUUCUAAUGUAGGGGUUUAAUCUACAUAAAAGCUAAGUUAAAUGUCUAUGUGUGGGUGCUCUGACAGCAUGACAAAAUUUAGGACCUAUUGAUUUAAAGAAAGUUAUCCUUGGCAUUUUAGUUAGUAUAUCAAAGCAUGACUAUAAUAAUCUUAAAAGCAUAUAUUAUAAUGUGACGUCAGGACAUGUGGACAUUCUGUUGUCUGUCAUAGGCGUUUGUUCUUGCAGGCAUUAUUAAGUUGUUUAAUCAGCUGUAAACCUCUUAUGACCAUGGGUUGUGACUGGCAAGGAAUAUGCCUUGCUAGUUGAAAGAUGGAGUUGACUUUAAAAUGGUGUCACCCUGGCUCUCCUAUGCUUCUGUUUCCCCAAAAAAGCCAGGUUACUUGUCCUGUAGAAUGAUCCACAUUCUGAGUUUGGCUAAUGACAUUCUCAUGGUAUUAACUUGUUUCUUUAUAUGUUGUUUUUUCUGUUACCCACAAAAUAAUUCUUCUGAUACACAUUUGUAAUCUUACCAUGCCAGCAUCUGCUACUCUUCAUGUUACCAAAUUUCUGUUCAAGGACCACUAAAGCCACAGUCAGUGGACAUUCUGAGACCUCUAGGGGAGGGUGGAGAUGCUGUCCUUUAAUAUAGUCUGACCCAAGCAACCUCCCCACUUGGCAUGGUGAAUCUAGACAAGCUAAAGAAUUUACUACGCCCCAGGCCUGCACCAGCCCUCUCCUAAGACCUUGGGCACUCUCAUUUCCCUUUUUUUUUUUUCUAAAGGAAGUCAUAGUUUCUCAUAACCUUUGCUAGUGAUCCUGGACCUUGGUUGUUCCCUGAGGCUGUGUUCUCCACACUGCUGCCAUCACUGCUACAGCAGAGGUGCAGAAAGCUCAGGAGAGAGAAGGGAGGAAAAGCUGAAGAUUUUGUGUUAUUCAUGCUUUCCUGACUCCGGCGAAAGUGCUUCCUCCACCUGCAACCAUUUCUGUUUCUAUACUGCUGAGUCUUGUGUUCCCAAGACCAAGGGAAGCCCAUUUUCUUUAAAGCCAGUCACAGUUUCUGUUGGCUGAUGGAAUAUCUGUUGUCCAGCAGUUGUAUUCCUGCUCACAAAUGCAAAACAGUUUGAUGCCACGCACAUUCCAGGGCUUAGACUGGAAAUGCUGUCCCUUGCCCCUUUGUUACCUUCUGACAGGGAUCAGUCCAUAGUGUAGUUGGUGUCACAACAGUCCCGAAGAAGCCUUCCAAUAGAUACCCAAAUGUGAUUCAAAGUGGCACAGGCACACACCACGGUGCCACAUGGUGCCUAUGUAAAGCAGGUAUAUCAGGAAUGCUAAGCAGAGAAGUAGCAGAACACACUGAUCCCCAUGUUCUCAUUGUACAGUUGGGUGCAAUUAAGCUGGCACAAUGGACUCUUCUCAUGGCUACUGUUCCAGUAGUGUGGAUGCCCCCAAAUGCUGCAUAUUUACUAGGACAGCCAGGCAGAGACAGCUGUGUACUAUGAUACAACAGUAGUCCCUCUUAGAGGAAGUGACCUUGUUAGAAGUGGGAGUUUCUGAAGCUCUUCAGCUGUUACUGGCCUGCUCUUCCAUAGCGUUACUUCAGACCUGCUGGCCCAGCUAUCCACUCCGCUAACAGGUCUGUCUCUGCUAACAGGUCUAGCUCUGUCUCCUCAGCACAUGUUCUAGGCUCUGACUGCAAGUGCUGACUUGGGCUCCCAGCCCCACACAGACCCUCUGUUCCAUGAAAGGGCCAUCUAUGCAAAGUGCCCCCCAAAUGCCAAAGGAGCCAAUAAACCAAGGAACAAGACAGACAAAUCUAGUUGUCAGUAAAGAGUGUUUUAUUGGGGAACUUACAGACAGAAGCGUGGUCUUGGAUGGCAGGAAGACAGGUAGGUUUCUGCACUUAUUACCCCCACACCCAGGGCUUAUAUACCACAGGGGAAGAGUAUACAUGCUCUGUGCAAGACAAAGGCUACUACUGUCCAGAACAGGUAAGAAUGCUAAUGUGUCAUAGCCUAGAAUUUGUAUAACAUCAAGGUUGACAUGUUCUUACAAUAGGGAUGGUAAAUAAAGUGGGAAUCAGGAGUCAGUCCUGGGACUGGGGCUAAUCAGAAGUCAGCAUAGAGAAUUAGCAUCCAAGAGGGAGUCACUUUUCUCUCCACAUCCCAGCCCUCUAAUCCAGCUCUUACAAUCUCAUGGACUCACAUUUCCCCCAUAGUCCCUGAGCCUUCAGAGAGGGCUGUGGGUGACAUUUUGAUGGUGUGAGUGACACAUUUUAUCAAUUUGUUUUCUACUUGUUAAGCAGGGGCCACAGCAACAACACAAACAACAGGCGAUGAUAUGUAUGCCAGGUGUAAGACACAGAAUUAAAAAUGCCCUUUACCAUGUUUAUUCAGGAACCAAACCAAGAGGUAUAGAGCAGAACAACAAUAGGAACAGAAGACUAUGGGUGGAAUUAAAAAUGUUUAGUAGGUAUUUGGUGGGGCAGUUCUUCCCCAUUAAACAGAAUUACUGGUAGCUCCAUCUCUGUUGAUUAGGAACAUAGGAUUGUGGGCUGGGAGUACACACCAAACAUGUUGCCUGAGGGGCAAAGGCGCUGGUAUUAUGUGUAAGGUUACAGGGGCAGCAAAGGACCAUGUCAAAUGGCCAGCCAGGGUGCUUCUUAAAAGGGACUGUGUUCCAGUUUAUUGGUAUGUGGAGUGUUUUGGCCCAGACUUCAGCAGGAUCAAUGGAGACCACUUUAGUUGGUAGGGAAUUCCUUGCUGUCUGGAAAGAAAUGCUCUAUCCAACAUAGGGGAAGUUGCUAGUCCAACCCCCAUUCAAGUGUCUCCUCCCUGGCUCAAGAUCUUGAGGAGUUCUAAAUAACCUUUGCCAUUGGCCUUUUAUCUGCUCAGGUCAGAGAUGCAUCUGGUUGGACUUUCUUUACUAUUAUGGUUAAUGGAUCCAUCUCUGUGGUGGUCCUGAGUCAUUGGUGUGGUGCCAGCACCAUAUUUGUCUCAACUAAAUUAAGGUUUCUAAUGGCUUGAGGCAAAAUCUUUGUCUAACUAUGAAAGAUAUUGGAUUUUGAGAGUGCUCAAAACUGUGCCUUCAAAAUACCAUUUUUCCUUUCAAUCAACCCUGUUGCUUGGGGGAGUAUACAGUAAGUGAAAUACCCAGUCUAUGUCCCUUUCAUGCAUCCAGUCUUGGACACCGUGUCUGGUGAAAUGCAUGCCUCGAUUGCUAUCAAUAUGUGGAGGGUAUCCUUACAUGACACUGAGUUGCUCCAAGCCCCUGAUGGUGGCUGUUUGGUUUGCUCUUACAAGGGAAAGCUUGCAACAAUCCCAUGGCAGUGUAUACACAUGUUAGUGCAUACUUUCGUCUCAAGAUUACUGGCAAGGGUCUGAUGUAGUCUAUCUACCAGUCUGUCACAGGGGUGGCUGUCUUAUGUAUAUGUCCAGGUGUAUGUGGGAUGUGGCAGAGGUACAGACGGGAACAAAUUAAGCAGUUUGCUACCGCCACCACUAAAUCUGCAUAGCAGAGAGCCAAUCCUGCUCCCUUUGCUAUUUGGCAGCCCAUUCAUGCACUGAAAUCCCCACUGUGAUAUGUACCUAAUCAACUAGCUCAGUAUUCUAAUUUUUGCUAGGAUGUCUGCCUCCAUGUUUCUGGGAGGUGAAUCUGACCAGUGUGCUGAAGCAAUUAGGUCCACAGUGGGUUCCUGUAGACUUUUCCAAAUGUCUUUCCACAUAUCAGCUCCCCAUAAGGAUUUUUAAAUUAUAUACCAAUCAUCUCAGGCCCUUUGGGCAAGCCAAAUUGUAAGACCCUUAAGUACUGCCAGACUGUCUGUACAGAGAACUAUAGGUGGUGGCUCACGGGUACAAACCAACCAUGUAGCUUGGAGUUCUGCCCAUUGACUGCUCUGUUGCAUUCCCAUCUCAAACCAGAUACUGUCUGUGGUUGUGCAGCUACUACUGUCCAUACACAGGGUUACCUUGGCUCAAUGCAUCUAAGUACCAAGCAUUAUCAGGAAUGAGGGCCAUGCCUUCAUGUACCAUUGGAGACAUCUCCUGUGAGGGCUCCACAAUAGGGGCAGCACUGGACUCAUAAUGUACUGGCCCUAAGAUAGCAUGCAGUUCAUCUCUUAAGGGAUGCAUGGAGAAGGCACUAUGUUGUUGCAUGUAUGCAUGGCACUUUUGUAAAGUGGAAACUUGGGCAAUAGCUGAUACAGGCCUGGCAAACACUCCUACCCAGUCCUUGAUAGGAAACCUGUUCUCCCUGGUACCAGGAAAGCAGCAGUUAUGGAUUCAACUUGUGGCAAGACCUUCUAUAUCCCCAGGACCUGUUAUUCAACUGGGAAAUAGCAGGUUUCAGUACCCUUCCAUUAAUUGUGACUAAAAUUCUAAAGGAACUGCUUCCCUAUGCUGGACUUUAUAUUUUCAUCAUCCAAAAUUAUAGUUUAGUUUUACCUUUAAAAAUAUGUUUUUUGUUCUCAUUUGUUCCAUAGGUUUCUCCUUGAAAUUUAUAUUGUAUGGUAAGGUUUCCUAUUGUUUGCAUUUUGUGGAUUGCACGCCAAGGUGUGGUUUAAUGUAUUUCUAUUACCUGUAUUUUCUGUAAAUUGGUAGUUUGGUAUAGAGGUUUGUGUACAUUCAGGGUUUUUUUUUUUCUGUAAGUAUUGAUGGUUCUGUAAAAGGAAAAUAAAAUCUUGGGGCCCCAAAAUUACUAAGCUAAAGGGAAAAGUCAAGCUGGGAACUGCUUAGGGUAAACCUGCCUCCCAUCUGUUCAGAGUCGCCCCUCUGCUCACUGAGAUAAACACAUGUCUGAUUCCCUCAUUUGGAAAGGCUAAUCGGAAACUCAAAAGAAUGCAACCAUUUGUCUCUCAUCUAUCUGUGACCUGGAAGCCCCCUCCUUGCUUCGAGUUGUCCCGCCUUUCCAGACGGAAUCAAUCUUUAGCUUACAUAUGUUGAUCACUGUCUCAUGUCCCCUUAAAAUGUAUAAAACCAAGUUGUGCUCUGACCACCAAAGUUGUGCUGAGAAGUGACACCAAAGAACAUGGUGGCAUAAGAACUCCAAGGACCCCUCCCCUCCACAGCGGCAAUGUGCUUGUUGAAACACCAGUAUAAAAAAACUCGAUGAGAGCUGUGAUUGGAUUUAGUGUUGAUAUAUUUUUUGUAAAUUGUGGUAAAACAUGCAUACUAUAUAAUUUACCUUCUAACCAUUUUUUCAGUGUACAAUUUGGUGGCAGUAAGCACAUUUACAAUGUUGUGUAACCACCGCCAAUAUCCAUUUCCAGAACAUUUUCAUCAUCCCAAACAGAAACUGUACCCAUUAAACCAUAACUGCCCAUUCUCCCUACCCCCAGCCCCUGGUAAUCUCUAUUCUAUUUUCUGUUUCUAUGAAUUUGCUUAUUCUAGCUACUUUAUAUAAGUAAAAUAUCAUAUUUGUUUUUAUUUCUGGCUUAUUUCACUUAUAGUGUUUUCAAGGCUCAUCCAAUUAGAAUUUCAUUCACUUUUAAGGCUGAAUAAUAUUCCAUGCUUAUGUGCACCGUGGGUUGUUUAUCCAGUCAUCCUCUGAUGGACACUCGGUUGCUUCCACCUUUUGGAUAUUGGGUAUAGUGCUGCUAUGGGCCUGAGUGUACACAUAUCUGGGUGAGUUCCUGCUUUCAGUGCUUUUGGGUAUGCCCAAAAGUGGAAUUGUUGGCUCAUAUAGUAAUUCUAUUUUUACUUUCUUGAGGAAUCACUAUUCUGUUUUCCAUGGUGGCUGCACCACUGUAUACUCUCACCAGCAGUGUACAAGUGUUCCAGUUUCUCCAUAUCUUCACCAACACUUGGCCUAGUGAAGUUUACCAUAUUUUUAUGUCCUUAUUGGCAUUCCUUUUUUUUUUUUUUUUGUGAAACAGAGUCUUGCUCUGUUGCCAGGCUGGAGUGCAGUGGCACAAUCUCGGCUCGCUGUAACCUCCACUUCCCAGGUUCAAGUGAUUCUCCUACCUCAGCCUCCUGAGUAGCUGGGACUACAGGUACCUGCCACCAUGCCCAACUAAUAUUUGUAUUUUUUUGGUACAGACGGGGUUUCACCAUGUUGGCCGGGAUGGUCUUGAUCUCUUGACCUCGUGAUCCGCCCACCUCGGCCUCCCAAAGUACUGGGAUUACAGGCAUGAGCCACCAUGCCUGACCAGCAUUCCUUAUUUUUAUGUCCUUAUUGUAUAUCUUCUUUGGAGAAUUGUCUAUUCAUGUCUUUUACUUAUUUUUGAAUGAGAUUGUUUUGCUAUUGUUGAAUUGUAGUUCUUUACAUAUUCUGGAUAUUAAUUCUUUAUCAGAUAUGUGAUUGGCAAAUAUUUCCUCCUGGUCUGUGCAUUUUCUUUUGAUUCUCUUAAUAGUGUCCUUUGAUGCAAAAAAGUUUUUAAAUUUUGAUGCAUUCUAAUUUGUCAUUUUUCUUAUAUUACUUGUACUAUUGGUCACCAGCCAAGAAACCACUACCAAUUCUAAUGUCCAUAAGAUUUUCCUCAGUAUUUUCUUGAGGGUUUUACAGGUUCAAUUCUUAAGAUUAGUUCUUUGAGUCAUUCUGACUUAAUUUUUGAAAAGGGUGUAAUGGAAGGACAUGAAUUUUUUCCAGCAUCAUUCUUUUGCAUGUUGAUAUCCAGGUUUCCAGCACCAUUUGUUGAUGCACCAUCUGUUGCAGUGGGGCUGACACAUUUGUAAGAUGCAGUGAGCAUUAAUACAUGGGAGCACCAUGCAUUUAUUUACCUGUCUUUACUUCACAGUUGUUUUGAGAAGGCUUUCACUGACAGACUCAACAGAAAUGAAUAUAUAUGACUUCUUAUAAAAUCAUAUUCAAGUAAAAUUAUAAAUUUUAAAAUGUUAAGACUGGAGCAAGACUGGAACAUCACUAGACAAGCUGAAACAUAGGCUGAAAUGAAGGGUUAUGUUUACCUUGCUACAAAUUCUGUUGGCCCACAAUCUCUUAUGCUUAUUGCUUAAGAGAGCCACAGAGUGGGGUGAUAGCUCACAUAACCAGUCCCUGGUUUUCUGCUUCAGAAAGAAGUUUAAAUAUUCUGCUUAGACAGAGUAAGGAAAUUAACUGAAAGAUGUCUAAUGUGAAGUUGGCAUCUACAAAGUGAAGGAGUGAGUAGUAAGUGUAAACAUCAGGAAUCCCAGGAGAUUCUAUCUUUUUGCACGGAAAUGGCCUCACUAUGCACUGCUGAAGGGAGAAGGUCCCUUCAGGGGACCUUCAUGAUGAAGAAGAACACAAUAUGAUAUAGGAAUUUUCUGCUGCAGCCCUAAACUGAAUUGUCCUUCUCUCUAACUACAGGUCUCACAAAGUUUUAUAGCUUCAAUGAUUUCACCUGGGCCAAGAUUUUGGUUUUUUUUGAUGUUAUUUGUUUGAACUGCUGCCUGGGGCUUAGAAAAGUGACUUGGAUAUUUUGUCAAAAUGGAUUUUCUUUGAUGGAAUGUGAAAUCCGUAAACACUCUGCUUUCCUGCUGUAUCCCCAGAGCAGGUUGAGUACCUUGCACUUCUUCUCAGCACUUCGCUAGAAGUGGUAGAAGAUUUGGAGUUAGGGCCUCCCUCAAUCCCUACCCUUUCUUUAAUUCAGAGGAUCACAAACUGUUGGGAGAAGAGUGGUAUCUUGGGCCUCUAGCUGAUCUGAUGAAUAUUAAUAUCCAAUGUCCUGUAGUGAAGUCAUGUGUGCGUGUAACAUCACUUCUUCACGCAGUGUCAUAGGAAAGUGGGUUCCUGGACCCCAGGUUAAGAGCCUAAGCACUAAAGGCACAGAGCUAGAGCUCUAGGAGGGGAGGGAUGGCUGGGGUGGAACCUCGUCUUGUCAUUUAGUCCUGGGGCCUUUUCACUCCUUACAUGGUGGGUGGUGGGCGUCUGGCAGGUGCCGAUGUUGAUGGAGUCAAGGGAGGGAACUAGCCGGGACAGGGAAAAACAGGGUUGGAGAGAUAAUUAAGGUGGACGUUAUUUUUUCUGAGCGUAAGUCGUGGCUGGAAAUCUGGAGAGCCUGAAAGAGUAUCCCCCUACCCAAACCUGUUUUUUCCUUUUCCCUCAAGCCUCAUUUGGCCACAGGCCCAGUGUCAACACCAGGGGGCGCCACAGACCAUGAAGGCACCGUGCAGCUGGGAUUGUUUGUGGUCGGCUACUGGGUCCCUGACUUAACCAGGGGAGCCAAGACCCUGUAGCCAAGUGGCCUGGAUUCAACCUGCAGCUCAGGUCUUACUGACACUUCUCCCCCUGGUGCCUCAGUUUCUUAAUCUGUGAAAUGGUGAGGACAUUACAGCAUUUACCUCUGGGGCGGGUUUCUCAACAGCAGCACUAUUAACAAUUUGGGACAGAGAAUCUUGUGGAGUGGUCUGUCCUGUGCAUUGUGGGAGGUUUGCCAGCAACACCCCACUCACCCCCUCCCACCAAUCCCCAUGUGACAACCGAAAAUGUCCCAGGAUUUUUAGGUCUCCCUUGGGUCUAGAAGCUGCACUUAGGCAUUUUCCCACCUGACACUUGAGUUCAUCUCUGCUUUGGUCCACAUAAGGCCACUUUAAAAAAAUGUUGUUUCUUUAAAGAUUCUAACCAUCUUUUAAACAAAUCCAUUUUCUUCCUCUAUUUCUGCAUUCAGUUAAUCCUUCCAAACCCUUUGUUUAGUAUAUCUUGAAAUGUAUCAAUUCCUGUUCUAGUAAUUAACAUAUGUGACUUGCAUGAUAUCUGCUAUGACCCUUAGUAGAGCUCUGAUUCCUUUAGCACAGGGAAUGUGUUCUCGAUUCUGCUCUGGAUGAUGUAAAUCAAUUUAUUUUACUUUACUUGUCUGGGAUGUUGCUCCUCAUCUGUAAGAUGUAAAUGUGGAUAUGGCUUGGAUUACUAAGUGGUUUUAUUUCUUAAUUCACCUGACAUUUGUUGUGUGCCUGCUGCAAGUCAAAUACAUGGCAUGGUAUUGUUUCCUUGUUCACACCACAGCAAAUGAGAAAAUGAGACAUUAUAGCCAGGUGUGGCGGCACAGGCUUGUGGUCCUAGCUACUCGGAAGGCUGAGGCAGGAGAAUUGCUCCAGCCCAGGAGUUUGAGGUUACAGUAAGGUAUGAUAUCACCAUUGCAUUUCAACCUGGGCAACAGACCCUGUCUCUGAAAAAAGGGAAAAAGACCUUGUGAGCUGUCUACGUGUACUCUAUGUCUCAGGAGACUCAUAUCCUGUAAUUUUUCUAAAUGGCGUCUCCAUGUGGUCUUUCAUGAAUGUUUGUCUGGUAUUCUCUAUCCUUUUACUUUCAACUUUUCUUUACCUUCUACUGAAAUUAUGUCUUUUGUAAACAGCCCAUGAUUAUUUAUUUAGUUAUUUAUUUUUACCCCCCUGCACUAUUUGUCUUGUAAUUGGAGUGUCUGAGUCCAUUAUGUUUAAUGUAAUUAUUGACCUCAUUGGGUUUAAGUCUGUCCAUUGUCAUUUGCUGCCUUCUAAUAUUAUCUCUUUCUUGCUCAACUAUUUUUCUUAUGUUACCUUCUUUAGAUGAAUAAAAACCUUUGCAUUAUUGUAGUCUUCUAAGUGUCCUAAUUACACAUUCUCUUAUUAUUUCUUUAAUUAUCUGAGAAAGCAUAAUGAUCUGUGACUUAUUAUAACCAAUAGCAGACCACAACUUCCCUGACUUUCACCUACCUGUGCCCACAGCCCAGGGGAGAAUCAGUGCUCUGGCUCUGAGACACAGGGGUGGUGGGAGUAGGAGAGUGAUUGGAUGAUGAAUCUGUAGCUGCAGAGGCAUCUGGGCCCCUCACCUGCAUUCCUCAUAGAUGUCUCCUCCAUUGAAUGCCUGCGAUGCCCUCUCCUCUGUGUACUCCUGCCAGAGUCUCCCUAUCUCCACUGACAGCAGCUCCACCCUUCUGCUCACUCAGUCCAAUACUGUGGGUGUCCUUGAUUCUUCUUCUCACAUCCAUUAGCAAGUGCUGUGAGUCCAUCUUCAAAUUCAUCCAGAAUCCCUUCACUUCUCACUAUUUCCCCUGCUCACACCCUAGUCAAGGUAAGCAACGUGUCCAUCCUAGAAUACUGUACUCCUUUCCCACCAUUUUCCCCACUGCAUCACUGGUUCCCCACCUCUCAAUUCUGUUCUCAGCACAGCAGCCAGAAAGAAGCUUUCAAAGGAUGAGCCCUACCAUGUCCCACUUUUCAAAACUGUCCUCCCCAUGUCAUUCAGAGCAAAGGUCAACACCCUUCCCACACCCUUCAGGGCUACCUGCUCUAGCCACACCUUUGACCUCACUUCAGUUUCUCUGUGUCCAGCCCUUCUGGCCUCUUCCUCCUUCCAGGAACACAGACAAUUUCCUGCCCUAGUGCAUCUGCACUGAAGGUUCCCCUGCCUGAAAAGAACUUUCCCAGACAUCCUUGUAGACAACUCCUCACAUCCCUCAAAUCUUUACUCCAAGGUCACAUUUGCAACAAGGCCCAUGCUGACCACCCAGCACAACAGCCACCUUCCUGUCCCCACAGCCCACCCUCUGGAUCACCUGCCACACAGCACUUGCCACCUUCUAACUCAAGCAUUUUCUGUUCCUACUCUGCUUAUACUAUAUCUAUCAUCUGCCUACAGAGGUGUCCAAUUUUUUGGCUUCCCUGGGCCAGUUGGGAAGAAUAAGCAUUGUCUUGAGCCACACAUAAAAUACACUAAUGACAGCUGAUGAGCAGAAAGAAUAGAAAAAAGAAAAACAUGUGCGUGCAUAAUUUUCAUGAUAUUUGCUACCACAGAUAAGCAAAAAAACUUCUUACAUUCAAAGCUGUCCCGGGCCACACGCAGCCCGAGAGCUGCAGGUUGGACAAGCUUGCAUCUAGAACGUAUACACCACAAGGCCAGAAAUUUUUCUGUUUUUACUUUAAUGAUGUUUUCUAAAUGCAAAAACAGUCAUAUACCUAGCAGACAACAAAUGUCAGUUGAAUGAAUGAUCACUGUAGAGCACCUCUGUAUUCUAAAGGCAAUAUCUUUAUUAACGUAGCUAAAGAACAACAUCAUCUCACACCAACAUCAGUGCUGCCAGUGCUUUUCUCACCAGGGCUGCUUGUGUGUCCUUCCCACCUCCUCCCACACCAACCCUCCUGCACACUGCAGCGCACAGCCAUAUUUUUCUGUUCAGGAAAGAUAAUCCUAGCCUUGUGGGUCCAAUUUUCCAACCCCAUAUAAAUCUAAAUCAGACUCUGCUUUAUAAAUGCAUGAGUUUGGAUUGGAGCCAGCACUGGGAUUACUACAACUCAGGCAGGAAGAAGAGUAGGAAAGCAGAAGAGGAGUUCCAACAGAAAGUUACCUACGAUGAGAAACUAUGGGACCCCUCCUCUCUGCAAAUUUCAGAAUCUGCUUCCUUUAAGAAGGCUGGGGAAAAAGAUGGAAAAUACAAUCCAGGAAAGAGACCUGGAAGGAGGGCAAAAGAUACAGGGGACUGAAAAUUUGUCUCUUCAUACCGGAAGGACUUCGAUGUGUAGGGACCACCCUAGGUGACAUCCAAGUCCCUGUGAUCACAGGUCCUGGUGGGACAAGGUUCUACUGAAGGGCCAAGGACAGUGGAGCAGCAAAGAUGACCCAGGUGAGCUGUGACCACAUAAAGCCCAUGGUGGCCUGAGCACACACUGGGCACAGCCCCAUCUACUCUCCUCCCCUGCAACAAAUCAGCACAAGAAACACGUGGACUCUGGAAGGUUCUCAUGUCUUCCAUUUAUUUUGUCUCUCAAAUUUUAGGAAUCUUCUCCUUUAAUUAACCCAUCAACCCGUCAUGGAAAUAAUUUGAAAAAAGUAAAUUUAUACUCAGAUUCUAAUUUUAAUAGGGAAGUAAGAAGUUACAGCUCAGUGCACCAUGAAGUUGAGACAGAGAUGGAGACAUCCCAGCACCACUUCUCUGGAACAGGAAAGGUGAUCGGGGAAGGAAUGUAGGUCAGUGUGGGGAACAGGGUCAUGGUGGACACGGGUGUGGGCUGGUCUCCCCACCACCUCACAUUAUGCCUAUAGGGACACAGACACAUUCAGAUGCCUUUGCAGAAAGAGAAGUCAGGGUUCUUGAAGUCACAAAGGGAAGGCAUGAACAAAUCUUGCCUCUCAGUCCCACACAAGGCAGCUGUCUCACACUAUAGAAAAAAUAUUCAUGAACAAAUUCAUAUCACUCACAGUGAGGGGUCACACCUUCAACAGCCCAUCAUGUGCUGAAUACAUCCAAGUCAAAGAAACCCCAUAGCACAGCUAUAUCCACUGUUACCCCAACAACCCACACACAUCAGCCUCCCCAGGGUCUCACCUUUACAAGCCGUGAGAGACACAUCAGAGCCCUGGGCACUUUGGCUGCCUGGGGUAGAACAAAAACAGAACCUGGUCAGAUCCCACAGGAGAUGUGGCUAGAGGAGGAAUUGUGGGGUGGGUGAGCUCCCCCAUGGGCUCCCAACCACAAUAUCCCAAGGAUCUCAGGGAUCAGCCUCCUUCAUACUUACUUGCAGCCUGAGAGUAGCUCCCUCCUUUUCUAUCUGCGGGAAGAAAACGUCCUGUGAGAGGCCAGGAAGGUAGCAGGGCCAUGAGGUCCUAGAGGAACCUCCUAGUCUUGGAACCUUGAGAAGUUUCCAGAAAUGUGUGACUGCAAACCAAGGGCAGGAUCAGGAAAAACAAGGAAAGCAGAUGUGGGUCCUGGACCAACUGCCCUCCUAAGGUCUGUCCUCAGCAGGGACCUUCCCCUGACCUGUGAUUACUGGGGUCAGAUCCCCAUCACUACAAUCAUCAAGGUGAGAAAUCUGUCCUUCAUUGUCACAGGUGCUUACAAAAGAGUAAGUGCUGGCACACAGGGCCCAGGCUGGGUAGGCCCAUGAAUGUGGAUGGUGCUUCCCGGUAACCAGGCAGAACACAUUUCUACCUGGAGCUUGAAACCCCCAGUGGGACAAGAAAACUCAAACCCGACUCCUCACCCCUUCCCCACCUGAGCUCUUCUUCCUCCACAUCACAGCAGUGACCACAGCUCCAGUGACCACAGCUCCAAGGAGAACCAGGCCAGCAAUGAUACCCACAAUGGGGAUGGUGGGCUGGGGAGAGGGCUCUGGGAAAGGAGGGGAAUGUGAGGGUUCUGACCUCCAGGACCCAGCCCCGACCCUGCUAAAGGUCUCCAGAGGGGCUCCUGCUUUCCCUAAGAGACAUGGCCGCCCCCAUCUCUCUCCUUACCCCAUCUCAGGAUGAGGGGCUUGGGCAGCCCCUUGUGCUGCACAUGGCAUGUGUAUCUCUGUUCCUCUCCAGAAGGCACUACCACAACCGCCCACUUCUGGAAGGUUCCAUCCCCUGUGGGCCUGGUCUCCACGAGCUCCAUGUCCUGGGUCUGGUCCUCCCCAUCCCGCUGCCAGGUCAAUGUGAUCUCCGCAGGGUAGAAGCCCAGAACCCAGGACCUCGUUAUGCCUCAUGUUCAGAGAGGGGGGUGGGUCACGUGUGUCUUGGGGGGGGUCUGAAAGGAAGAGUCGGAAAACUCAGGCACUUUGCAUUCCUCAUGGGACACCCCAGCAGCGCCCAUGUGACCAUCCUGAUGAAUAGGACACCUGGGGUGGGGAAGGGAGCACAGAGCCCAGACACCAGCCUGGACACAGGCGCCUGGGAUAAUCUCCUAUUCCUUGGAAAGUUCUAGUCUCUGAGCAGGGUAGCAGGGACUUCUGGUCCUGAUCUGAGUGGAGGCCAAGGGACUCAGAGGAGCUGGAGUCAGACUCCGACACAUUGAGUGUGAGGCAGAGAACAAGGCCCGGGAGGAAAAGUCCUGGUGCCCAAGGUUGCUGUGGGGUGAAAGGGGACCGCGGAUCAGUCUUCCAGGGAUUGUCUUCCCCUCCACUCCCUCAGAGACUUCAUCCCUUAAUUGUCCCAGGAAGAGCAGGGUGGGCCCUCAGAGUCAAUCUCUGAUACAGGAUCUGGAAACCCAGGAGGAUUCCUCUCCGUCAGGACAGGAGGGAGGGCGAUAUUCUGGUGGUGGUUCCAUUUUCUUCCCCUCCUUGUGCGAGGCCAGCCCGGGAGAUCUACAGGAGAUCGAGCAGGCUCCCCAUGGCCCCUGGUACCCGCGCGCUGCAGCGUCUCCUUCCCGUUCUCCAGGUGUCUGCGGAGCCACUCCAUGCAGGUGCCCUCCAGGCAUACUGCUCAUACCCGCGGAGGAGACGCCCGUCGGGCCCCAGGUCGCAGCCAAACAUUCCCUGGAGGAUGUGAUACCCUGGCCCAGUUCCCGCGGUCAGCCCCGCCCACCGAGCCCUGGCCCGGCCCCUAGCAACCUGCGGAGAUUUUGGCCUCAACUGAAGAUGAAACCAGACUCACGGCGUCACUGUCGACCCGCACGAACUGCGUGUCGUCCACGUAGCCCACGGCAAUGAAGCUGGGCUCCCCGCGGCCCGGCCAGGAAACGGCGGUGCUGAAAUACCUCAUGGAGUGGGAGCCUGGGGGCGAGGAGGGGCUGAGACCCGCCCGACCCUCCUCCCGGCGCGGCUCCCCGGGUCCUGCGCCCCAGCCAGGUGGACCUUUCGCUCCUCACGGCAGAGGCCGUUUCCCUCCUGACCCCGCACUCACCCGCCCAGGUCUCGGCCAGGGCCAGGGUCCCCGAGAGCAGCAGGAGGAGGGUUCGGGGCGCCAUGACCCCAUCGUCGGCGUCUGGGGAGACUCCGAGUCCCGGUGGGUGCGUGGGGACUUUAGAACCGGGGCCGCGCGACGCUGAUUGGCUUCCCUAGAAACCCGACACUCAGUGGGAGUGAGAACUGGGUCCGCGUCGUGAGUGUCCAGGAAGAAGGACCCGUCGCAGGCUGGGAGAGGGAGAAGAGAAACUCUGCGGAGAUGGGGAAUCCCCAAUGCUGCACCUCCCCAGCCCAUGCACCGCCUUCGGGGCCUGAGACCCUGAGAGCCAUGCCUGGGGCUCUGGGACUUCGCCCUGACCCCGCUCCUCCUGUGACAAACGCUCUGUCUCAAUGUUCCCUGAGUCUUGGUCCAGGAGCUGUCCGAGAAACCAGGAAGAAACCCUCAGCUUGGGCCCCGUCCCUCUCCUUUCACUUUUCAUCCGGGAAUUCCUGUCCCUGAAAUGGACUCCCUGCUUCCCCGCUGCUUACCUGUUCCCCUGGACUCUUCAAAAAGAAAACUCACCCCAGGGAGCUUGGUGCCAGAGAGGGAGCUCUCCCUGGGAAUGGAGGUGUAGAGACAGAGGUUUUUUUCUUUUAUUUCUUUUUUCUUUUUCUUUAAAUCUGGAAAAGUUGUGCCUGGGUGCAUGAGAUAGUAUAGAGACCAGUUUGCUUUUUGUGUAUUAACUACAGUGGGUAGCAGAAUCUUGGUAACCCCUGAAUGAUCAGGAAUCUAAUCGGUAAAAACAUGUGACUUUGGCCCCUUGAUAUAUAAAGUGUCUAAAAGCAUUACAACAGGACUCACAAAGCUCCUAAGUUUCACUUUUGCAAACAAGGUAUCUGUGACUCCCGCUUGUGGUGUUUUAAAUUUACCUUUAUUCCAUAGCCCUGAGUUUCUGUGAGUCCAGGACAUCUCCUCAAUACAAAGUAGCCACUGUGUUCCUAUGUGUUGCAACCAGGAGUCAGUACAGACUUCAUUCACCUCAAAGUUGCAAGCGCUCGAUGCAGUCACAAUGUCCAUCACCAGUGCUCAUGCACUGCCUGUUUUUAGGAAGUAUCCACAUCUAAGUGGUGUGUAUAUUUCUUAGGAACACUUAGUAUUUUUAAAACCUGAUUAACAUAAAAACAAUUAGUUUUUAAGCAGACCCACUUAAGGUAUUAAAGGCCAACUGCAAGUAACACCCUGCGAGGCUCUGUAGAUGGAUCUAUUGAAAUACCAUUAAAAAAAGUGUUCAAACCUAAGAGUUGUGCUGCUUUUGAAUUCUAUCCCUCUACUCCUUUUCCUCACCUACUGCUUCUCCAGCCCUUCCCUCCGUCCCUCUUAUCACUCAGCCCCUCCUCUCCCCUUAGUCCCCAUCACACUGUCACUCCUGAAUUGUGACACUGGCACUCUCCCGUUACCUGCUACGUGACUGUUCUCUCCACAGUGGUCCUGCUAAUGUGAGUCAAAGUGUGUCAUUUCUCCACCUAAAACACUCCAGUGGCUCCACCUUGGUCUUGUGAAGCUUCUAGAAUGUCAGGCACGUGAGCAUAUGAGGGGAUACCUGGUUCAUUGUAGGGACUAAAUUAAUUUUUGUUGACUGAAUGAAUGAAAUAUGAGUAUAUUAAAUUGCAUCACAGAUAAUUAUAAAAUGCAAAACACUGAAAAAGUUCAGAAAGAUUUUAUUUUAUGUAACUAGUGUAUAUAUCAAUUCAUCAGUUCAUUCCAUUAGUCUGUUGAGCCUGUGUAUGAAUUUUAUAAGACUGUGUAAAAAAUUAUCACAAACAUUGGCUUUAAACAACACCCAUUUAUUGUAUUUAUUUAUUUGUUUUUAUUUAUUGUAUUCAUUUAUUUGUUUUUAGAGACAGAGUCUCUAAAAACUGUCAUCCAGCGUGAAGUGCAGUCACAUGAUCAUGGCUCACUGCAGCCUCAAACUCCUGGGCUCAAGGAAUCCUCCUGCCUCAGUCUUCAGAGUAGACAGGACUGCAGACAAGUGCCACCACACCCAGCUAAUUAAAAAAAAAAGUGUAGAGACGAGUGUCUCACUGUAUUACCUGGGCUGGUCUCACACUCCUGGCUGCAAGUGAUCCUCCUGUGUCAGCUCCUCAAAUGUUAGGAUUACAGGAGUGCACCACCACGCCUGGCCAAAAAACACCCAUUUAUCUGUUUAUAGUACCUUAGUCAGAAAUCUGGGCAUGAUGUAGAUGGAAUCUCUGUUCCAGGCUUCCCAAAUCUGAGUCUUCAUUUUGAAUCCUCCUUUAGGCUUAUACAGAGGUGGCAGAAUGUGCUUUCUUGCAGUUUUAAGACUGAGGUCCCUGUUCCUUGCUGGCUGUCAAUGUAGAGAACAGGGAGGGCUGUACUCAAUUCCUGGUGCCCACCAGUGUUGUUUCCUACACAGCCCCUUCAUUUUCAAAGCCCACAGUGGAGGAAACCCCUCAUGCUGAAUCCCUCUCACACUGUGAAUCUCUAUGCUCAGGAAGAACCCAGUCCUUUCAAGGACUCUCCUGAUUAGGACAGUCCAAGCAGCAUAAACCCAGCCUGAAGUCAACUAAUUGAGCCCCUUUAUUAUGUCUGCUAAAUUCCUUCACAGCAGCACCUACAUUAGAGUUGGUUGAAUAACUGGGGGAAGGUGAAUGACCAGGAGGUGGUUGUUGGGGCCAUCAUAGAAUCACUCUAGCAAGGGAUGAAUCUUCCUUUUGUGUUUAAUUGGGACACAGUUGGAAAUUGAAGUUCAAGUAAAGUGAUCAUUGUGAACGAUAAUAAAAUACAUCCUCUUCAGCCAUGGAACUUCUCCUUUCCUUUUAAAACUAAGUUACAUGUUUAAUGUCUUAUAAUUAAGUUAGGCAGGGGUGGUGGCUCACGCCUGCCAUCCUAGCACUAUGGAAGGCAGAGGAAGGCAGACUUGUUGACUCCAGAAGUUCAAGAUCAGCCUGGGCAACAUGGUGAAACUCUCAUCUCUACAAAAAAACUAGAAAAUUAGCCUGGCAUGGUGGUUCAUGACUAUAGUCCCAGCUACUCAGGAGGCUAAGGUCAGAGGAUCCCUUGAGCCCAGGAGGUCGACACUGCAGUGCAUGGUGAUCAUGCCACUGCACUCCAGCCUGGGUGACAGAGUGAGACCCUGUCUCAAAAAUAAUAAUAAUGAUGAUGAUAAAUUUAGAGCAAAUGCAAAUUAACAUGUAAUAAUGCAUCCUGUCUUGUGAAAAUGUAUUAGUUAUUUACUAUGCAUAACAAAUUAUGUAAAACUUAGCAGCUCAGAACAACAAAUAUUCCUCAUCUCCCACAGUUUCCAAUGAUCAGAAAUCCAGGAGAGGUUUCCCUGAGUGCUUCUGGCUCAGGGCCUCUCACAAGGUUGCAGUCCAGUUGUCAGCCUAGGCCUGCAUCAUCUGAGGACUUCACUGAGCAAGGCCAUAGAGGAGUCCUCGAGCUACAAUUGGCCAUCAGAGGAGUCCCCUGUCUCCUAGGAAUGUCCUGCCUUAGUGUCACUGGUAUGACCCAUCAGUCGUUGGGAACAGCCCAUGGGAAGAGGGCCUCAGCACCAAUGUACUGAGGAUGUCAGAACACAAGAGCAGGGCCUUGGGAGAUUGCCCACAAGUGUGACUCAAACCUUCUGCCCUGACGGGUCUGGGCCCUUGGAAAUCAAAUCCUCUCAGGCUGAAUUGCUGGAUGAUUCUGCUCACACUUACAAUGGGGCAAGGGAAACCAGAAGGCUCCCAGGUGGAUCUCUGGUUUCCACACACACUUCUACCCUUGUGUGAAACAGCCAUGCCUUCUCCUGGGGAUGAGGAUCUAUUUAUUACCUGGGCCUGGAGAGGAGGAGAAUCUUCUUCUCACCAAGUGGUAUCUGGGCACACACUGUCCAAACUUCUCUGGUGACUAAAGUAAUGUGUAGUUCAGUGGGCUGUCUUUUGUCUCCUUUUAGGGGUACACUCCUUUGGAAACCAGAACCUCGUAUCCUGCACAGCCCAGUGUUGGGAGAUAAAAUAUGCGAAAUACCCCAUUGAGUGAAUCUAAGAGAUUGGACAUGGAGCCAAACCUGCUUCCGCCUUUUGAUUUCUGGACACACAUGUUCUUCCUAUUGAGAACACAGAACUCUAGAGACGUCUCUGAUUCAAACAAUGCACUGUGUCCUGAAAGAUGGCACCCACCCCUCAGAGUGCUUCCUCCAGGCUGGCACUGAGUUGUGCCUGUAGAAGACCUGUCCAGCCUUCCUUGUGGCUGGCAGCUCCUGGGUAGUGCAGAUGGUGAUAGGAUUAGUGGAACCCACAGCCGUGGAAACACUGAAACUUUCCCUGCAAAGUGGGUCCUUCAGGCAGAUAAUGGGCUAGGAGCACUGCCUAGCCUGCAGACCAGGAAUGUCAACAGCACCCAGAGAGUGGUGCUGGCUGUGUCUGAGAGCAGGACAGGAAAACCCACCCAUAGAAUCGGUACCUAACCCUGUGAAGAUGAAACUCUGGCCCUUCCAGGUUGGAAGUAGCUAAAUGUAGUCAACUUGUUACUUAGUGGGUAGUCAUGUAAAGAAAUAGUGCCCCACUAGGGCACAUCAUGGGCCUCAAUUGCUGAUGAGUUGGACAUUCAGAGGUGGCAGCAGCUGGAUCUGCCUUGGUGUGGGGAAGUCAGUGCUGCUGGCCCCUUACGGAGCCUCAUGCCUGCCACUGUGGUUGCUCCAUUCAUGCACUCAUCCUACCAGGCCUGGGCUGACCCAUGGUGAAAGCUGGCUAACUGCCAUUUGUCUGUUUGGUAGUUCAGUGCCACUUCAGACUUGGGUGUUUUCUGUGGGUGUCAGCAAGGGAUUCAAGCUCAACCCAGGUGGACUGUUUUCACCUGAUGAUGAAUGCUGUUGGGCCUGUACCAUCUAUGACUUUGUGGGUCACACAGGCACUUGGAACCCCGUAGUUGCUUGGUAUCCCGUGGUCAAACAUUCUAUUGAAUCAGGACAAGGAACACUAAAAGUUGCUUCUAACAGGGGGCAUGUGUCUCUGCUGUGGAUGACAUGAUCUUACUCCAGAAUCCCAGGCCCUCCACUGUGACUCUCCCACUGGUGCUUGGUUCAGCUCCAUCCUGUGUCUUUCCCCACCACUGGCACCACCAGCCCCAGGGGUCUGAGGGAUGGUGGCUGCUUGUACCAUGGCCUGGAUCUGCUGCAGGGUCCUUUCCUGUGUAGGCCCCACUUGAAGCUGGCAUCCUCCUAUGUCACCUAGACUGUGGGCCAAAGCAAAAUGUCUAGAUGUGGAAUGUGGUGUUGUUAUAAUUCAAAGAGGCUCACCAAGCAGUGUGCUUCCUUGCUUCUGGUGAGGAUGCAAGAUGCAACAGUUUUUCUUUUACCUUGGAGGGGACACACCUGCAUUCCCCUAAACACUUGGCACUUGUUCACCCAUAAAACUUCACUUCAGUGCCCACCUUUGAAGCUGUAUAAGGUUUAUCUUCACCUUGUGGGGUGCGUGUGUUUUGCAAAGGACUACAGUGCACUUUCUUCCUGCUGCUCAUCUACUCCAGUCAACAUGAAGUUGUCAAUGAAAUGUGCUGAUUUAAUAUCCUAAAGGAUAUGCAGUAUGUCCAGUACAGUCUUAAGCCUAUACUAUAGAGGGCACAGGUGUUACAAUAGCCCUGAGGCAAACAAUAAAUAAAUGUGUCGUUGAUUCCACAUGAAUGUGAAUCACUCCAUAUCCUCUUCCUUCCUUCCUUCCUUCCUUCCUUUCUUUUUUGACAAAGUCUUGCUCUUGUCCCCUAGGCUGGAGUGCAAUGGCGUGAUCUCGGCUCACUGCAACCUCUGCCUUCUGUGUUCAAGUGAUUCUCCUGCCUUGGCCCCCCGAGUAGCUGGGAUUACAGGCACCUGACAUGAUGCCUGGCUAAUUUUUGUAUUUUUAAUAGAGACGGGGUUUUGCCAUGUUGGCCAGGAUGGUCUAGAACUCCUGACCUCAGGUAAUCCACCGGCCUCGGCCUCCCAAAGCUGGGAUUACAGGCAUGAGCUACUGCGCCCAGCCCAUAUCCACUUUCUAAUUGGAGUGGAAAGGAAUGCACUCACCAAAUCCACAGCGGCACACUGUGUGCCCGGGGCUUUAUUAACCUGCUCUACCAGUGAUAACCAGACAACAUAAAAGCUGCAAUUAUAACUCCUACUUGGCCAGACCUGGAGUAAUCUCAUUCAUUCUUUAGGCCUUACCAGUUUCCCUCAGGGACAGGUUGCUGGAUUACAUAGAGACAAUAGACAGCCCCAACACCACCCCACAUCCUUCAGCUCUCUAAUGUUGGUGCGACCCCAUAAUACUUUCAGUGUCUUCCACAAGACCCACCCUGGGACACACUAUGGUUUUUGAUUUGGCCAGGAUGAGGGCAGUGUCAGAGGUUUCCGUUUGGCUUUCAGCACAAUGAGAGUCCUUACUCCACAGACUAGGGACCCAGUGUGGGGGUGACUCCACUUAGCAGUGCAGCAGUGUCAAUCAUGCACUCAGGGAAUUGAAAGAUAUCCAGCGUUGGGUCUGUUGGCCCAGUGGUCCCAUUGUGGGCCAUAAUUUGUCCAGGUUUACUCCCUGGCCUCCAUAAGCCCCACUGUGAUGGGAGACAUGAGUGCUGUGGGCAUCUGGGCAUCAAUGUCAGCUCACACCCAGUGUCAAUAAUCCCUCCAGUUCUGCGUGUUUCCUUUCCCCAGUGUACAACCACCCAAGUAAAUGUCUAUAGGUUCCUUUGCCAAAUGAUUGAGGGAAUUGUGCCAGCAUAUACUUCCACAGGGUUGCAGGGUCUUCCUCCUAGGGAUAUGGACUCCUCCUCUGUCACUGAGAUCUGAAUCUGAAUCUUGGCUGAGGUCUAGGCAUUGAGGAUGGGAUCAUGACUUUGUAUUGGGUCAAACACCUUCACCCUCCUGCUCCUCAAUUCUUUCAUUCCUAUCAUAGAUAUCAAGCAGCGCCCUUGUUGGCUGCCUGUCCUAACCCUGGGACACCACCCUCUAUUAACCUUCCCCACAUUCCCUGCAACUUGAGUCCUCCUGGCUGCUACUCUGAAGUUGCCAUAGUAACCAUGCCCUCUGCUUUUUCAGGUCACUGCCACCACUUCUUCUCUGUCUCUUCAGGGCCACACUCUCCCCAGGGAUAUGGAUAAAUGCAACUCUGGGACCAUCUUUAUUACCAUCACCUGCAGCCUGCAGAGGACAACACCCCUAUACUUAGUGAUGCAGGUCCCUUUCACCAUCAUGUUCCUGAGGCUCUGGUGGAAGGUUGUGUCCUCUGGGCCCUCUUGUGGAGCAUGGCCCUGGUGGGCCUUCACCAUGCCCACUUCCCUCAGCCUCGUUAUUCCUUCCUUUACAUGUUCCAGGGCAACUAAGACAUGUCUACCUUGUUGAGAGUUGGGCAUCUUUUUUUCCAAUCUAUAUGGAUUCACCCCAGCGGUGGGUUUAGCUCCACUUAUCAAAGUCCUGGGGUGUUUGACAAACCCAUGCCUUGAGAAAGUGCCUCCAAGCCAAAGGAUUUUUAUUCAUCCAGCCUGAAAUUCUGGUUUCUUGAUCAAACGCCCUCAAAUUCCAAUCCCAGAAGUGCUCCUUGGGCUCCUGUGGGGAAAUGGCGGCUAAUUCCUGCAAAGCUGCUGAGUAGGAUUCCCGCAGAAUCACGGGGGUGAGGCUUUUGCAGCAUCUUCCAGCGUAGGAAGUGGGAACCAUUAUUAGAUAAUGGUGAGCCUCCUCUGCAUUCCCAGAGGGUCCUGGAGGGCACCCAUCGGAUAUCCUGGUUCCAGUUUCCAGAAUCUCAGGUUUCCCCACCAGGACCCUGACUUUCCUGUAACAGGCCUGCUUUGGCUGAGUGUCAGACAUGUCUGGAGCACUGUGGCCCUCGUAAUGAUGUCUUCAGCUGCCAUUCCACGCUAUCUGCCCUUUCGCUACAGGAGAUAAAGGCCUCUCCAUGAGACACUGCAGAGGCUGUCACCUGUAGCCAGUGACAGCUGUUAACAACCCGCAGAUUCUCAUGAUCCUUUUAUAGGGUAUCAACGCAGCCAAGCAGUAACCACCCAACUCCUCUGUCUUUGUAGGUUUCCCCCAACCUCAUCAUUAUUGUGUAGGGCAUUCUAUCACCUCACCUGCCAUAGCUUCCCCUAACCAGGGCAUCUUCUCAGCUCAGCACUGAGGAGACCACAGCACCUCAGCUGCACCUUAUGCCAUGGACUUUCUGUGUCCCCCACCAACCCGGGUGGCAUCCUCUUGGCCUGCCAGGCAGUGGGCAAGAUUAUUUCAAAUUCCCAUUUUUGCCUGUUUUCAUGGGUCACCCUUCAUACCGCUUGGGUUAGUUAGGGUCCCCUGAGGAGCAGAGCCCAAUACGGUAGUAAAUGUGCAAGGAUUUAUUCAGGGAAAUACUUGUGAGAGAAAUUCAGGAGAGAGACAGAAAACACUGGGAGAGCCAUCAGACCACACUGCAACUCUGAGCCCCAGUGAAGGAGAGAGGGCAGGAAGUUCAGCUGGAAGCAUCCUAGACCCUGUGCAGGCUAAGGGAAAUUUAGUAAAGGAGGCAGGGAGCCCUGGGGCUGCAGUCAGCCUUCAGAGGAGAAAUAUUCCUGCCUUAGUUUCUGCCCUGCUUUCCUCAAUCAUUGGCUGGAAAAGAUCAGGGGGCAGGUGUGGGAUCAGAGCAAAUGUGGCAAUAGAUUUCAAGCUUCAAGAGCUGGGGUCAUCAUCGAUUCUGCUUCCUGUAGCUGAGGGGCUGGGAUGUGCAUUCUCAUGACUGCCACAAUGAUCCAGUGGGGAGAGAGGGAAAAAGUUGAUGAUAAAGAUAAAAAAAGAUACUAGUUGAUGAACUGACAACUUUAAGUAGAUGAGAAGGGAUGAUGUUUGGGGCACCAGAAGAGGGACUGGCUCUGACUGGGAGCAGAAUUGUUAACCCCCAGCAAUCCCUCCCGUGGUAAAAUGCCUGACAUGUGGUGCAGCUGCAAAUGCAUGAGCAGACAGUGGUGGAAUCGGGGAAGUUGUCUUCUAAUGUGUUCAGUUUUCUCAGUGAGGUAGGAGGCAAGGUUGUCAGCUGAGGUAAGAAUGGGGAAGAAGGGUUGGAUGUGUGAGCACAGAGAGAAGGUGUCUAGGAGUCACCCAGGCCAAGAGGAGGCUGAGGGUGAACCACGUAGGGAGAGGGUGAUUGCUGGCCACGUCAAUGGUAGGGGCUCCCCAUGAGGUUUGGAAUCUUAAAGAGACCAGUCAGCAUGUUGUGUGCUGCUGUCCAGCCUCCUGCAGCUCAUGGGGCAGGUGCAGCAUAGACAGAGGUGGAACCCACCAGCUGUGUAGUUUUGCCAGGUGAGUAUGACAAUGCAAGGGAGAGGCAAGGGAGGGAUUGAAAUUAUUUACUGUAGAAUUCAAAAUGGGAGAAGAGGGAGGAGAGGACACCAAGGGUGAGUGACAGGGAGUAGAUGGCAGGAUCACUCAAUUGGGAAUCCCAGUGGGCUGGAAGGAUUGUUGGAAUUGAUGUACCACAGGGUGGACUCCAAGCCUGGAAUGCAGGCACAUAGGAAAUGAGUGGUUCAUUGAUAUUACAUCACAGCAUAUGAUAAAAUGAUAGUGUCUGUGUCAUCAGAGCCUGUGGCCACCUUGCAAGGGGAUGAGUGGAAAGAUGGCCAGAGAGUGGGAAGUGUGAGAUUGAGAGUAUGGAAGGGCUGGGGUUCUUGGCCGUGAUGAGGCCUAGGGGAUGACAAGGGCAUGAGAUUCAGGCAGAGAGAGGAGAAGGUCAUGGAGGAGAGGAGUUACAGGAUCUGAGAGUCCAGGGAGCAAGGGCAUCUUCUCUGCUGUAUAGGUGUCUGUUGCUGCCAUAAAAAUUACCACAAACCAAGUGGCUUUAAACAGCACCUAAUUAUCAUGUCACAGUCAUGUGGGUUGCAAGUCCACACAGUCUCAUGGGGCUAAGAUCAAUGUACGGGAAGGCCUGCAUUCCUUCCUGGAGACUGGGGAAGAAUCCACUUCCAAGCUCAUUCAAGUUCUUGUCUGAAUUCACUUCCUUGCAGAUAGAACAGAGAUUUCCACUUCCUUGUUAAGAGCCACCCUUAGCUCCUAGAGUUUUCUCUCAGGUACUCACACAUGGCGCCUAAGGCACAUCCAGUCCUCCUGCUUGGAACAUCUGACCUCCUCUCUCCAGCUUCUCCUCUGUUUCCUCUUCUGCAGAAUCUGACUCCAGCCAGGGCAGUUUCUCUGCUUUUAAUGGCUCAUGUGAUUUGAUUGGGCCCACGCAGAUAGUCCAGGAUACUCUCCCUAUUUUAAGGUCCUUAAUCUUCAUUACAUGAUUAAUGUCCCUUUUGCCAUGCAAUGCAACCUAUUCACAUGUUCCAACGAUUAAGCCUGGACAUCUUUGGGGACCAUUACUCAGCCCACCACAUCUGCGUAUGUUGAAGUCACCAAGAGUCAAGGAGACGCACUGCUGGAGAGGGUGACAGUGAACCAGGAGCUACAAGGGUCAGGAUUAAGAGGAAUGGCUUGGGGCACAAAGGGAAUGGCUACAACAUGGGGAAUGGGGCCCUAAUCUGCUGACAGCUUAGGGGUUUAGGGAGGAGGGAGGGAGAAAGGUGUGAGAACCACAGUGAGGAGCAAGGACCCCACCUCACCUCUGAACCCAGGGGUACAAGUCCCUGGGAAAACUCCCCCAUGUGGGAGGACUUUGGAGGGGGUCGUGUCCUCAGGGAGACCAGGUUGCUGCUGUAGCUGUGAGGUGCAGGAACAUCCUGAGAGAGGGUGUGGAGGUUUUGCUAAUCUUUUUGCUGGGGGAGGGUCUUGCCUCAGUGUUGACUAUUGGCUGAUCAGGAGGGUGGUUGCUAAAGGCUGCUGUGGCAACUUCUUUAGAUAUGACAAUAAAGUUUGUGGCAUGGAUUGUAAAUCGGGAAUCAGUACUUAAGUAAGGUCAAUAUGAGUUUUCAAGUCAGGUGGACCUGAAUAUGAACCCUCCAGGCCCUUCCACCAGCUAGCUAUAGAGCCCUGGGCACAUCUGGCCCACAGUUGGCCCUGACAGACACUUGCCCAGUGAGUGAGUGCUGAAUGAGCCCAUACGAGUCAGUUUCCUCAUCUGCAAACUAGUGAUGUAAUUCCUGCCUUGCCAAUUCAGAAGAAUAAGUGAGAAGAAACCCAGUGCCAAGAAAAACAGACACAAGACCUGUGGAAGGCUGGGCACCAGUACUCUAAAGCAAGCUCUGCCUAAACUGGCAGGAUCAUUUUUCACAUCAGAAACAGGAAUUGGUCUGGAUUCUGUCUGGGACCAGGCUGAGAGGGAGGUGGAGGCAGCAGAGCAGGGCAGGGGUGGGGCCUAUGCAGCACCAGGUGCUGAAGCAAAGCCAAGGCCUGGAGGGAGCGAACUCUUGGUGUCUUCUAGGCAACUCAGACUGCUCCCUGCCUCAGCUACCAUGGUCCUUUCUCUUCCAGGAUCUCUUGGUGCUGUUGUCUUCACCUCCUCCUGCCCUCCUGGUCCCUAGCUCUCCAGGACUCACAAAGAUGCUGCUCUGAAAACCCCAAGGCAAGCGUGGAAGAGUAGAACAGCUCCAGGGACAGUGGGAAGAUGAGGUCACCCCAGCAUCUCCUUGCCUAGUUCCAGCUCUGAGCUCUCAGCUCCUUCCCAACCACACCCCAGCUCAGACCUCAGGGCUCUCUCUCCCCACCCCCUCCAGAGCAGCACAGUCCACAGAGCCCUUGAACAGAAAUUCCCCCUCAUCUAACAGUUAAUUAUUUCUUAGCGGAGAGGGACAGCCGGUCCUCUCUUUCCAGUGACCCCAUAUCCUUGUUCAAGGUAUCCAGUUAUACUCCCUGAGCCAGGGAUCUCUAUUUGCCCCCCAGAGGCCUAUGCCCAAGACAAGGGGCUCCCUGGGCUUCUCAGUACAGGAGGCCUUAAGCUAAUGGGCUAGAAAAAGGGAAAGGGAGGUAGAAUUCCUCAUUUACAGCCAGACCCUGCAAUACAGGUUCCAAGGGCCUCAGCCCCCUGCCCUGGCUGAUGCUCCCUCCACCACUCCCCCUCACCAGGGCCAUGAGCCCCCAACACAGCUGAGCUGGCCCAAGCUGAGGAGUUGCUGGAGCUGGACCAGGCCCUGCUGGAAGGGCAGGAGGGGGUCAGGGGCCCAGGCCCUGGUGCUCAAGGUCUAGAAUUUGAAGGAAUAGAUGAGGAGGCACCAAGAAAGCCUGGGUGGAGACACUCAAGCUUCCCACCAGUGCCCACAGCACCCUCCAUCCCUGGAAAUACUGCGCACCAUCCACCAGGAGCCCCAGGAUCAGAAACAUCCCAGCCUCUCUCAGGCCAGAUAAAGCAGAAGAGACCCCAACAAAGGGCCGGAAAUAGGCAGGUAGUUGGGGAGCCAGGGCUCUGCAGUCCGUCCCCCUUUGACCUCACAGCAGGGCAUCCAGGCCUUACAGGAAUUUACCCUGGACCAUGCCCUAAAAUAAUCUUACCCCAAAUACAAUAAAGGGAGAGAGCACCCACACAUAAUGCAGAUGCACUUGUGUUUCAUGUUUAGUUACAUUAAAAAUUCUGACGAUCAGGAAUGAUGGUUCGGGAGUGGUGCUGAUGCAGAAGAGGAAAGCCAGGGGGUGGUGGAGGCUGUCAGGUGUGGGGGCAGCAGGGUCUCCUUCACCCACACCCUGCUGUCCUCUCCUGAAGGGCAGAUGGUCACAUUCCAGAAUGAGCGAGUCUCCUACUGCAUCUGUUCAACUGAGAAGGAGACAUGGCACAGUGAGAAUAAGGCAUGAAAGGACAAAGCAAGGCAGGAACACACAGCACACAUGCAGAUGCUGGUGUACUGCCUGGGUUCAGAGGAUGGACUUGGGUGUGGUGGAAGAGAUGUAAUAUGAGAAAAGGCACAGACCCCACAUAGAGGGCAGCAAAACGUCCCAACACAGCAUCAACGGCCAGGGGGCAUGAAGCAGUCAAUUGUUCAUUAUGCGUUAAGUGCCCAUGACCUACAUGAUGGGAUUGAAGACACAGUAAGGAAUAGGGAGGAACUAAGGGUUUCAUGAAAUCAGCACUCACUGUGGAGGAGACGUCUGUCUCAGCAGGUAGCUCCUAACACUGAACUUAAAGUGAUGCUGCCCAUCACUGAGGAUCCUGGCACAAUUCUCAUCCGACACAAGCCCUGUUCCAAACCAGCCUGCUCUAGUCACCUGGAAGGAGACAGAGGUUAGGACUAGAAGACCCCAAAGAGGGAAGACAGCCAGAGGGAGGAAUGAAGAAGUGAAGUGUGAAAAGAUACAGAAAAUAAGUGGGUGGGAGAGUGGGUGUCCCUCUGUGUAUGGAGCUUACCUGAUUCACGUAGGUCUCAGAAUCUUCAGGCAUGUCACAGGUAAAGGCAGUGUUCACCUGCUCCAUGUCCAUGCCUGGGCAAAAUAGGGUUGGUAGCCAAAGAAUUGGCCUUUAAAAAUCUUUUGGGGUCAUUCUCAGACAAGUACAGAAGAGCAAAAACUGUUAGUCACCUGAGGUGCAUUCUCCUUCUCAGGUUCAGAAAUGAACUACAUGUAAAAGGAACCAAAGGCUGUAAUUCUCAUGGCACCCAGAAAACUGGACUAGGGACCUGGAGAGUCAUGUGCCUGUCAUUGCUCCACCACUCACGAGCUGUGUGACUUCAGGAGAAGCUCUCUACUCAUAGGGCCUCUGAUUCAUCUGUGAAUCAUGGACAAAUGCCUCCAUUCUAGCAACCUUACUGAAAUGCAGGGAGGACCAAGUGAUCAAUGCGGAGGAAAAAAGCAAAGUGAUGACAUUUACUCCUAGACAAGACUCUUUAGGAAAAUGCACUUUAAAAGGAGGAGAAAACAUAGUACCUGCCAUCCCCUGCCAAAAAGCCUCUUUGGUUUAGUAAUUAUGAUUGUUCAUCAUCUUUCUAUAAAAUUAGGGCAAAACUAGCUCACUCAAUGUCUCAAAUAAAUUAAACACAGUUUGUGAUUCUAUGUCCACAACUUUUGCACUGUGUGAAACUGAAAAGAAAUGGGAACACAUCCAUGUUUGUGUGGUGGCCAGGAGACCCACAAAGGCUUGGAAAUGACCCUGUAUCAUCUAUUUUCCAUUGACUCACUCUAUGUUUUGGAAUCCCAGGUAAUUCAUAUUCUUAAAAAGUCUCAUGUUCAUACAUAGGACAGAGUAGAAAAGGUAAUAUUUCUGUUUUAAUUUGCUAGGGCUACCAUAACAAAGUACCACAUGCUGGGUGAGUAAAAUAAUAAAUAUGUAUUGUCUCACAGUUCUGGAGGCUACAGGUGCAGGUCAAGGUGCUGCAGGGUUGCUUUUUCCUGAGGCCUCUCUCCUUGGCUUGUAGAUGGCCACUUCUGUCUUCUCAACAUAGGACUCCAACAUAUGAAUUUCGGUUGGGGAGGGACACAAUUCGUCUCAUAACAGCGUGGAUCAUCCUUGGUAGUGGAUAUUCUAAAAAAUAAAAGAGAGUAUAUCCCUUUGGCUUGGUGCUUUCUCUUGGUUUUCUCAAUUUUUGGUCUUGCAAUAAGAACAAAAAAGAACAAGAACCAACGUUUAGUUUUUCCCAGAAGGUGAACCCUCCCUACAUCUGGGUAACCCCAGACCCCAAGAAGAGGUGCUAUGCAGUUCUCCAGAGUCUUACUUUCUCCAGGAAUUCUGUUUCUGCCUUUCUAACUGGGGAGAAGAUUCUCUCAGGAGAGCCACUUCUUCUGAUGCUGUAUGGGCUUCAUUCUGCUUGAACUUACAAAGUGGAUCUUAAUAAAAAGGAAAUAUUUGCCAAUUUUUAUCAUGGUCAUAUUUUUGUACUUUUUAAAAUGUCCCAUAUUGUGUUGAGUUUAUUUUAAAAAUAUUUUUUAAAGGUAAUACAUAACAUUUUAUAUGUUUAUGGGGCACAUGUGAUCAUUUGAUACAUACACAGAAUGUGGAAUAAUCAAGUCAGGGUGUUUAGGGAAUCCAUCACCUCAAGCAUGUAUCAUUUCCUUGUGUUGGGAACAUUUAAAAUCCACUCUUCUAGCUGUUUUAAAUAUACAUAAUUGUUAGCUUUAGUUGGCCUGCUGUGCUAUAGAACAUUAGAACUUUUUUUUUUAUAUAACUGUACAUUUGUACCCAUUAAUCUACCUCUCUACAUCUUCCCACCCCUACAUUCUUCCCAACCUCUGGUAAUUUUCAUUCUACUCUCAACCUCCAUGAGAUUAACGUCUUUAGCUCACACAUGUGAGUGACAACAUGUGAUAUUUGUGUUUCCUUGCCUGGCUCAUUUCACCUAACAUGACCUCUGGUUCCAUCCAUGUUGCUGCAACUGACAGGAUUUCACUCUUUUUUUAUGGCUGAAUUGCAUUCCAUUGUGUAUAUACUACAGUUACUUUAUUCAUUCACCCAUUGAUAAAUUCACCAUUGAUUUCACAUCUUUGCUAUUGUGAAUAGUGCUUCAAUAAACAUGGGUGUGCAGGUACUCUUUUGAUAUAUUGACUUCAUUUCCUUUGGAUAAAUACUCAGAAGUAGAAUUGUUGCAUCAGAUAGUAGUUCUAUUAAUAGUUUCAGUUUUUUUGAGAGAUCACUCUACUGUUUCCCAUAAUGGCUGCACUAAUUUACAUGACCACCAACAGUGUAUAACAUUCCCCUUUCUCCACAUGCUCACCAACAUCUAUUAUUUUUUAUUUUUUAAUAAUAGCCAUCUUAACUAGGGUUAGGGUAAGAUAUAUCUCAUUGUAGUUUGAUUUUCAUUUUCCUGGUAUUUAGUGAUGUUGGGUGUUUUUCACACACCUGCUGGCCACUUGUAUGCCUCCUCUUGGGGAAUGUCUAUUCAGAUCCUUUGUCCACUUUUUAAUUGGAUUAUUUGUAUUUUUUACUGCCAAGUUUUUGAGUUCCUUGUAUAUUCUAGAUAUUAGUCUAGAAUAUACUAAUUGGAUGAAUAUACUGGUUGGUUGAAUACUUAGUAAAUAUUUUCACGAUUCAACAGGUUAUUGCUUCAUUCUGUUGGAUGUUUCCUUUGCUGUGCAGAAGCUUUUUAGCUUAAUAUAGUCUCAUUUGUCUAUUUUUACUUUUUUUGCCUGUGCUUUAGAGGUCUUAGCCAUAAAAUCUUUGCCUAGACUAAUGUUUCCCAUAAGUUUUCUUCUAGUAGUUUUACAGUAUUGGGUCUUACGUUUAAGUCUACAAUCCCUUUUGAGUUGAUUUUUUGUAUAUGGUGAGAGACAGGGGUCUAGUUACAUUCUUCUGCAUCUGGUAGCAUUUUCCCAGCACCAUUUAUUUAAGAGACUGUUCUUUCCCCAGUGUAUAUUCUUGGUUCCUUUGUCAGAGGAACUCCUUUGAGAGUUCUCAUUAAGAAGCAAUGUUUAGUUUCACCAAAUGCUUUUUCUGCAUCUAUUGAGAUGAUAAUAUGGUUUAUGUCCUUCAUUCUGUUGAUGCGGUAUAUGACAUAUUUUGAUUCACAUAUGUCAAACAAUCCUUGCAUCCUGGGUAUAAAACUCACGUGAUUAUGGUGUAUUGUUUUGAUCUGUUGUUGGAUUUUGUUGCUAAUAUUUUCAAUUACUAUUUUUUAUUACUAACGUUUAAAUUUUUAUUGUAAGCAUUUUAAACUUGUAAAAUUUACAUAUACUGAAAUGAUCAGAUCUGUAUCAAAUUCAUCAAUGAAUUUUGACAAAUACAGCCAUAGCACCCAUGCCACUAUGAAGAUACACGAAGUUCUCUAUUUUUCUGCCUUCAAAUUAGCCCCCUUUCCCCAGCAGCCAUUGAUCUGAUGACUAUCAUGAUAGAGUAGCUCUUCCUGUUUCAAAACUUCAUACGUAUCCAUUCAUCCCAUAUGGCCUCCCUUGUGCCUAGCUUUUUGCACUUGGUGUAAUAUCUAUGUGGUCUGCCCAGCUUGUUGCAUGUAUCAGUAAUUCAUUCAUUUUUAAUGCUGGUAGUAUUGCAUUGUAUCACUGAGUCACAAUUUUUUUGUACAUUUUGGGGGUAUUCACGGUUUUUUAUUGUUACAAAUGAACUAUGGACAUUAUUGUACAGGGAUUCUUGGACAUAAUCUUUAUUUCACUUGAGUAAAUACCUAGGAGUGGAAAUGCUAGCCAUAGAGUACUAGCUUGUUUAACUUUAUUAGAUGAUAUAAAAGUGAUUUUCAGAGUGGCUGUUUUAUAUUCUUAUAGGCAGUGGAUGAGACUGUUUCACAUCCUUGACAACAUUUAUAUUUAUUAAUCACUUAAAUUUCAGCCAUUCUAAUAAGUGCUUAGUGGUUUCUCGCUGUGGUUUUACUUUGCAUUUUUCCCUGAUGACUAUUGGCCAUUCAUGUGUCUUUUUUGUAAUGUUUCAGAAGAUUUCUCUAAAGAUUGUGGAAGGAGCUAAAUAAACAUGAUUUCUCUUUCUCUAAGUGCUAGACCUAAAGUGGAAUGUUUAGAAUCCAUCCACGCUUCCCAGUCUGGCCUACUCAAUCCCAUAUUUGCCCCCUAAAGUCCCCACUCCUUCAUCCCUCUUUUAUAUUUUAUCCUCUUCAUUCUGGCUCAAGCUCACACUCCUCCAGGAAGUCUGUUACUGUGAAGGUCACUGACAUGCUCAGUAUUGUCAUCUCUCCAUCUGUCUGUACCUCUGUGCAGCUUUCCUCACACUCAAUAACUCUUUUCUUAUUUUGCUCAGUUCCUGUGGAUUCACUUCACAAACAUUAAUUCAAAGUAGUUCCAGCUGGAAGAAAGAAUAGAAAAUUAUAAAAAAUCUUUGUGAAGGCACCACCCAGGUUUGUCAAUUGGCGACAUUUUAAUAUUAUUGGCUAUAUGUAGUAUACAUAGAAAAAUAAUAGAAAUAUAUGUAGAUAGCCUUGAUUUUUCACAGCUCUGAUAUGCACAUGUUUCAGUCAGUACUGUACUGAGCAAAUCAAGAAUUGCAAGAGGAUGUGUGACUUGAAUUUAGUGUAUGCCUUUAUAUUUUUACUAAGUUUUAGGAAAUCUCUUUGUUUGAAGUCUUUUAGACUUGUUUUUUUAGAACAGGUCUCCUCACUCUGUCACCCAGGCUUGAGUGCAGUGGCACAAACACAGCUCACUGUACCUCAACCUCCCAGGCUCAAGCGAUACACCUACCUCAGCCACCCAAGUAGCUGGGGGUAUAGCUAUGCUCCACCAUGCCGGGCUAAUUUUUGUAUUUCUUGGAGAGAGGGUUUUUGCCAUGUUUCCCAGGCUGGUCUUGAACUCCUGAACUCAAGCGAUCCACCCACCAUGACCUCCCAAAGUGCUAGGAUUACAAGUGUACACCACCUUGCCUGGCUUUGCUUUUAGACUUCUUAUAAAUUGUUUCUGGCUAAUUUUAUCAUUCAUUUGCUUGCUUUUUCAGUUAACAUGUUCUAUGACAUGAAUCUAUGUUCAUACAAAUAGUUCAUUUGCUUUCAUUGGUGGAUAGUAUUCCAUGGGAGGAAUAUACUACAAUUCUUCUCUUUCCCUCUUCAUUGACCUUUAGA